UUGGAGGGCAAGUCUGGUGCCAGCAGCCGCGGUAAUUCCAGCUCCAAUAGCGUAUAUUAAAGUUGUUGCAGUUAAAAAGCUCGUAGUUGAAUUUCGGGAUUAGUACGUUGGUCGUGCUUUCGGGUAUGUACUGGUGUUACUGAUUCCUCCCUUCUGACGAACUAUCAUGCCAUUUACUUGGUGUGGUGGGAAAUCAGAACUGUUACUUUGAAAAAAUUAGAGUGUUUAAAGCAGGCUCACGCUUGAAUACAUUAGCAUGGAAUAAUGAAAUAGGACGUUGAUCUUAUUUUGUUGGUUUCUAGGAUUGACGUAAUGAUUAAUAGGGAUAGUUGGGGGCAUUAGUAUUCAAUUGUCAGAGGUGAAAUUCUUGGAUUUAUUGAAGACUAACUACUGCGAAAGCAUUUGCCAAGGAUGUUUUCAUUAAUCAAGAACGAAAGUUAGGGGAUCGAAGACGAUCAGAUACCGUCGUAGUCUUAACCAUAAACUAUGCCGACUAGGGAUCGGAUGAUGUUAAUUUUUUUAAUGACUCAUUCGGCGCCUUACGGGAAAC
Molecule: ribosomal RNA, 550 nt
Filed under: uncultured Glomeromycotina
Lineage: Eukaryota; Fungi; Glomeromycota
Description: SSU rRNA
Rfam family: Eukaryotic small subunit ribosomal RNA
Source: RNAcentral